RNAcentral lists this long non-coding RNA (402 nucleotides) under Musa acuminata (dwarf banana). Its description in RNAcentral is "long non-coding RNA (MACU_LNC002660)". The record is from RNAcentral. Lineage: Eukaryota; Viridiplantae; Streptophyta; Magnoliopsida; Zingiberales; Musaceae.
AAGUCGGGAUGACACCGACUAGAGAAUGAUAGGACACAUUUUGGUAACUUGCCCCCUUACCACUGUAUACAACCACGACAGCAUCAAGGACAGUGUAAUGAACUACGCCACCCAAGUACAAUGUCAUCCUACAAAGGUCGGGACGACGUUGACCAGGUACAACAGUGUCCCGCGAAAGCCGGGACAGUGCCGACCAAGUACGACACUGACUAGGUACAACGGUGUCCCACGAAAUUCGGGACAGUGCCGAUCGAGUAUAACGCCGCCCCGUGAAAGUCGGAACGACACCUCUCAAGUAUAGCGCCAUCCUACAAAGGUUGGAAUGGCACCGCCCAAGUAUAGCGUCGACCCACGAAGAUCAGGACGACGUCGACCGAGUACCACGCCAUCCUGUGAAGGUUG